AGUCGACGGGUGUAGCAUACACUAGUGGCGGACGGGUGAGUAAUACCUAGGAAUCUACCCAGAAGUGUGGAAUAACACCGCGAAAGCGGUGCUAAUACCGCAUGUGAAUGCAAAUUCAAAGCUCGUAACUGAGCGCUUUUGGAGGAGCCUAGUUCCCAUCAGCUUGUUGGUAGGGUAAAAGCCUACCAAGGCUAUGACGGGUAGCUGGUCUGAGAGGAUGAUCAGCCACAAUGGCACUGAGACACGGGCCAUACAUCUACGGAUGGCAGCAACUGGGAAUCUUUGGCAAUGGGCGAAAGCCUGACCAAGCGACGCCGCGUUGAGGACGAAGGCCUUCGGGUUGUAAACUCCUUUUGUCCCGACACCACGUCGGGGAGAAUAAGCACCUGCUAACUACGUGCCAGCAGCCGCGGUGAUACGUAGGGUGCAAGCGUUACCCGGAUUUAUUGGGCGUAAAGAGUGCGUAGGCGGUUUUGAAAGUCAUUAUUGAAAUCUUAGGGCUCAACCCUAAACUUGGUAGUGAUACUUCAAGACUGGAUUACUUGAGGGGGUACCGGAACAGUUGGUGGAGCAGUGAAAUGCGUUGAUAUCAACUGGAACACCAAAGGCGAAGGCAGGUACCUGGCAAGUCAAUGACGCUGUUGCACGAAAGCGUGGGGAGCAAAACGGAUUAGAUACCCGUGUAGUCCACGCUGUAAACGAUGGACACUAGAUAUUGGAGUGGUUGACGCUUCAGUGUCGCAAGCUAACGCGUUAAGUGUCCCGCCUGGGGAGUACGGCCGCAGGCUAAACUCAAAGGAAUUGACGGACCCGCACAAGUAGGGGAACGUGUGGUUCAUUCGAGACUAAACGACAACCUACAUCAGG
Molecule: ribosomal RNA, 867 nt
Filed under: uncultured bacterium
Lineage: Bacteria
Description: bacterial SSU rRNA
Rfam family: Bacterial small subunit ribosomal RNA
Source: RNAcentral